This 1287-nucleotide ribosomal RNA is filed under the name Lamprospora seaveri. Its description in RNAcentral is "SSU rRNA". It matches the Rfam family "Eukaryotic small subunit ribosomal RNA", at positions 88 to 1386 of the family's 1831-position model. Lineage: Eukaryota; Fungi; Ascomycota; Pezizomycetes; Pezizales; Pyronemataceae. The record is from RNAcentral.
UGCGAAUGGCUCAUUAAAUCAGUUAUCGUUUAUUUGAUAGUACCUUACUACUUGGAUAACCGUGGUAAUUCUAGAGCUAAUACAUGCUAAAAAUCCCGACCUCUGGAAGGGAUGUAUUUAUUAGAUAAAAAACCAAUGCCUUCGGGCUUCUUGGUGAUUCAUGAUAACUUUACGAAUCGCAUGGCCUUGUGCUGGCGAUGGUUCAUUCAAAUUUCUGCCCUAUCAACUUUCGAUGGUAGGAUAGUGGCCUACCAUGGUUUCAACGGGUAACGGGGAAUUAGGGUUCGAUUCCGGAGAGGGAGCCUGAGAAACGGCUACCACAUCCAAGGAAGGCAGCAGGCGCGCAAAUUACCCAAUCCCGACACGGGGAGGUAGUGACAAUAAAUACUGAUACAGGGCCCUUUUGGGUCUUGUAAUUGGAAUGAGUACAAUUUAAACCCUUUAACGAGGAACAAUUGGAGGGCAAGUCUGGUGCCAGCAGCCGCGGUAAUUCCAGCUCCAAUAGCGUAUAUUAAAGUUGUUGCAGUUAAAAAGCUCGUAGUUGAACUUUGGGUCUGGGUGACUGGUCUGCGUCUACCGCAUGUACUGGAAACCCGGAUCUUUCCUUCUGGAGAACCGCAUGCACUUCACUGGGUGUGCCGGGGAACCAGGACUUUUACUUUGAAAAAAUUAGAGUGUUCAAAGCAGGCAUUUGCUCGAAUACAUUAGCAUGGAAUAAUAAAAUAGGACGUGCGGUUCUAUUUUGUUGGUUUCUAGGACCGCCGUAAUGAUUAAUAGGGAUAGUCGGGGGCAUCCGUAUUCGAUUGUCAGAGGUGAAAUUCUUGGAUUUUUCGAAGACGAACUACUGCGAAAGCAUUUGCCAAGGAUGUUUUCAUUAAUCAGGAACGAAAGUUGAGGGAUCGAAGACGAUCAGAUACCGUCGUAGUCUCAACCAUAAACUAUGCCGACUAGGGAUUGGGCGACUGUGUUUUUUGAGUUGCUCAGCACCUUACGAGAAAUUAAAGUUUUUGGGUUCUGGGGGGAGUAUGGUCGCAAGGCUGAAACUUAAAGGAAUUGACGGAAGGGCACCACCAGGAGUGGAGCCUGCGGCUUAAUUUGACUCAACACGGGGAAACUCACCAGGUCCAGACACAUUAAGGAUUGACAGAUUGAGAGCUCUUUCUUGAUCAUGUGGGUGGUGGUGCAUGGCCGUUCUUAGUUGGUGGAGUGAUUUGUCUGCUUAAUUGCGAUAACGAACGAGACCUUAACCUGCUAAAUAGCUGGGCUCGCUUUCGCGGGUUCUUGGCU